AUUGAACGCUGGCGGCAGGCCUAACACAUGCAAGUCGAACGAGUGGCGGACGGGUGAGUAAUGUGUGGGAAACUGCCUGAUGGAGGGGGAUAACUACUGGAAACGGUAGCUAAUACCGCAUACCAUCGGAUGUGCCCAGAUGGGAUUAGCUAGGAGGUGGGGCAAAGGCUCACCUAGGCGACGAUCCCUAGCUGGUCUGAGAGGAUGACCAGCCACACUGUAACGGAGAAACGGUCCAGACUCCUACGGGAGGCAGCAGUGGUGAAUAUUGCCCAAUGGGCGCAAGCCUGAUGCAGCCACGCCGCGUGUAUGAAGAAGUCCUUCGGGUUGUAAAGUACUUUCAGCGGGGAGGCGUUACCCGCAGAAGAGGGACCGGCUAACUCCGUGCCAGCAGCCGCGGUAAUUC
RNAcentral lists this ribosomal RNA (406 nucleotides) under uncultured bacterium. Its description in RNAcentral is "partial 16S ribosomal RNA". It matches the Rfam family "Bacterial small subunit ribosomal RNA", at positions 30 to 526 of the family's 1533-position model. The record is from RNAcentral.